This 465-nucleotide ribosomal RNA is filed under the name Vreelandella stevensii. RNAcentral describes it as "partial 16S ribosomal RNA". It matches the Rfam family "Bacterial small subunit ribosomal RNA", at positions 338 to 795 of the family's 1533-position model. Lineage: Bacteria; Pseudomonadati; Pseudomonadota; Gammaproteobacteria; Oceanospirillales; Halomonadaceae. The record is from RNAcentral.
CCUACGGGUGGCAGCAGUGGGGAAUAUUGGACAAUGGGGGGAACCCUGAUCCAGCCAUGCCGCGUGUGUGAAGAAGGCCCUCGGGUUGUAAAGCACAUUCAGUGAGGAAGAACGCCUGGUGGUUAAUACCCAUCAGGAAAGACAUCACUCACAGAAGAAGCACCGGCUAACUCCGUGCCAGCAGCCGCGGUAAUACGGAGGGUGCGAGCGUUAAUCGGAAUUACUGGGCGUAAAGCGCGCGUAGGUGGCUUGAUAAGCCGGUUGUGAAAGCCCCGGGCUCAACCUGGGAACGGCAUCCGGAACUGUCAAGCUAGAGUGCAGGAGAGGAAGGUAGAAUUCCCGGUGUAGCGGUGAAAUGCGUAGAGAUCGGGAGGAAUACCAGUGGCGAAGGCGGCCUUCUGGACUGACACUGACACUGAGGUGCGAAAGCGUGGGUAGCAAACAGGAUUAGAUACCCCAGUAGUC